Molecule: non-coding RNA, 2266 nt
Organism: Arachis ipaensis
Lineage: Eukaryota; Viridiplantae; Streptophyta; Magnoliopsida; Fabales; Fabaceae
Source: RefSeq, a predicted model, not a curated record
UCAAGCAUGUAAUGCAUUUAUAGUGAUGAAUAAUUAUGUCAUUGAUCUAUAUUCCUUCAUACUUUGUAGGUCUUGAAGUGUGGGUCUCUCUUUGCAUCCAGCCAAUAUUUCCAAGUUUGACAUUUUUUUAAUUGACCUUGAGAUAUGACUGCAUGAUGUAAUAUUGCCAAUUUAUAAGUGAUCCUGUUUAUUUGAAAGAUUUUUGGUUUAUUUUUAAAAUUAAUUGGCUUAAAAUUGGGUCGUGGUGUGUAAUUUACAUUUGUUUUUCCAUGAUUAUCUGAUUUCUUCUGGGCACAUGGUAGGUUUGAUGUGUGUGCUUGGUUAUGUUUUUCUUGAAAAUCUAUAUAAACUUUAAUUCUAUUCAGCCACACCUCAAUGAGAAAGAUAUCAACAAUAAUUGAGAGAGUGGGAAGUAGCCAUGAGCAAGAAUAACAUUCCCAAUUCUAAUGGAUGCCUGGACAAUUUUGCAACUUUGGAGAAGAAACUUUAAUCAAUUUAUUAUUAUUUGGCAUUCGUAAUAAGUAGUACUCAAAUAAUAUAAGACAUAAAAACAAGAGUAAAUAUUUGCUGGCUUUAAUUUUUGUUUUUGGAAUUACCUGAUUUUUUUCAUUGGUCUAUUUAUAUAAGUUGUUGCAUUGGCCUCUCUUCCUUAAUUAGUUUCUUAAAAUUUAAACAUAAUUUUCAAUGUGUUGAUAAUUUGUGUUUUGUUAUUUUUCAACUAUUUCUAUUUUAUGUUAUAUUUACACAGCCUUCCAAAAAGAACUAAUUCAAAGCAAGCAUUAGAUUCAUCCUAUAAAUUCAUCCUAUAAAGAGUUUUACUCGCCUGUGAUAUGUUUUGCUAAAACUAUAACUAAGAUUCACAUUAUUAUCUCAAAUUGCUUGGGUUGUUGACAUCCAUGUUGCAAUUAGGGAUUUAGAUAUAUUUUUCUUUUAGCAGUGACAGUGAUUACAAGUAGAAGAUAGUUACUUGAAAGUUUGUCUUAAGGCUUCUCUUAUUGAUAGUGUCUUAAGGUGGGAUGUCAAGGUUUUGGGGCUUAGUUCGGAGUUGGAGAGGAAGGGGAAGAAAAUGGGCAGCUCACCAAGGAGGUAUUUUAUUUUAUUUUAUUUGAAUACCAAUAAAAUAUAAGUGAAUAUAGGUAGGUAAUCAGAAGUUCUACAAUUCCAAUGGAAUGAUAACUGGAAUUCAAAAUGAUUUGAAAUGUUCAAUGAAUAUUGGCAUUGUUGUUUUGUCUUGCUGGAGUUGGAAACUAACAUUUUUUUUGGUUUUCUAUGGAGAGUAAUGGGGCAUUUUCUACUAACAUGAAACUUCUUCAUCCUUUUGGCCUUAAUGCUUAUGUUGUCUAGAUUUAACUUUUGAAAUUUGAAAUUAGCUGAGCAUAAAAUUUCCCAACUACAUUCUAUGACACAACUACAUUCCCUUCCAAUUCUCAUUUCACUUUCCCUUCUUUCAUCUCUCUCUUUCUAUUUCCAUUUUAUUAUUAUUUUGUUUCUUAGAAUGCCUCGCCAUUUGAGUUUCACAUUCAUUUAAAGGUUCAUUCUUUAUUUUUUAAAUCCCUUCUUGGAAAUACUUGUUGAAGGAGGGGAAUUUUUGUUUUGGAAAAUGAAAGAGGAUGUGGAACUGGUAUUUGAGAUUUGUGUGGUGAUUCCGAAGAGAGAGGCGAUUCUUAAAGGAGAUGAAGACUUUGAUUGCGGCAAUGUCUUUCCCAAGGAGCUUAAGAAUGCAGGCUUGGUUGUUGAGAGAGUUAUUGGCAAUUCAGAUGAGUUCUUCAAGCAUGAUCAUUUUUUCAUUGCCACUGCAGGCAAGAAUUGUUGCAAGCACGUGAAAAGCAUAAAGAAGAGCAAGUGAUUGCUUUGAAGCAGUCUAUGCAAAGUGGAAUGGCACAGGCAAUGAAAGAGCAAGCUCAACUGAGGGAGGAAAUGGCAUACCAAUACAAGCUUGGUAACUUUGAGGCUGCUGCUGCAAUCCAGCGAAGUUUCAUGGUGAUCAUGCCUUCAUGACAAACAUCAAUGUAGAUUAUGAAUUGUUAUGGUUAUCAGGAGCGCCAUCUUGGAGAUAUGAAUAAGCAACUUAGGCUCAAGCUUGAGGCAAAAGGGUUCAAUCUAAAAGCUAUGGAAAACCCUAUGGAUUGUCAACCUGAGCCUUUCUUGCAAAUAGGGUAAAUGAAAUUUCCAAUUUAAUUUUAGUGAUGUGUUCAUAGAAAUAAUUAAUUAAUGACCUGAUUAAGGUAUUAACACUCAAGUAUUAAUUAAUGGUUUUUUCUUGGAC